This 253-nucleotide ribosomal RNA is filed under the name uncultured bacterium. Its description in RNAcentral is "partial 16S ribosomal RNA". It matches the Rfam family "Bacterial small subunit ribosomal RNA", at positions 524 to 776 of the family's 1533-position model. The record is from RNAcentral.
UACGGAGGGUGCAAGCGUUAUCCGGAUUCACUGGGUUUAAAGGGUGCGUAGGUGGGCUAGUAAGUCCGUGGUGAAAUCUCCAAGCUUAACUUGGAAACUGCCGUGGAUACUAUUAGUCUUGAAUAUUGUGGAGGUAAGCGGAAUAUGUCAUGUAGCGGUGAGAUGCUUAGAUAUGACAUAGAACACCGAUAGCGAAGGCAGCUUGCUACACAAUCAUUGACACUGAGGCACGAAAGCGUGGGGAUCAAACAGG